This 253-nucleotide ribosomal RNA is filed under the name uncultured bacterium. RNAcentral describes it as "partial 16S ribosomal RNA". It matches the Rfam family "Bacterial small subunit ribosomal RNA", at positions 524 to 776 of the family's 1533-position model. The record is from RNAcentral.
UACGUAGGGGGCAAGCGUUGUCCGGAUUUAUUGGGCGUAAAGAGCGUGUAGGCGGCUUUGCAAGUCCGUUGUGAAAACUCGAGGCUCAACCUCGAGACGCCGGUGGAAACUGCAAAGCUAGAGUCCGGAAGAGGAGAGUGGAAUUCCUGGUGUAGCGGUGAAAUGCGCAGAUAUCAGGAGGAACACCAGUAGCGAAGGCGGCACUCUGGGCCGUGACUGACGCUGAGACGCGAAAGCGUGGGGAGCGAACAGG